AAGAAAAUUCCCCUGGGAUUAAGUUUUUUUAGUGAAGAGGAAUAUUAUGAGGUGGAUGGGAGGGGCUUAAGGUCCUCCACUUUCGCCUUGGUGCCUGUCUUCGCCCAGCUGAGCAACCUCCAGAGCUUCCUACCAGCUGUUGGUGCAGCUUUCUCCGUUGCCAUCGGUGCUCAGCACGUGUGCUACGGCCAUGUCACUCCUGGCGACCCUGGGGCUGGAGCUGGACAGGGCCCUGCUCCCAGCUAGUGGGCUGGGCUGGCUCGUAGACUAUGGGAAGCUCCUCCUGGCCCCUGCCCCCCUGGGCCCCUAUGAGGUCCUGGGGGAGCCCUGGAGGGCGGGCUUCCGGGGGGGGGAGAGCCCCUGGCAGGUGAUGGCUUCUCCGACUGGAUGACUGAGCGAGUUGACUUUACAGCCCUCCUCCCUCUGGAACCCCCCUUGCCCUCAGGUGCCCUUCCCCCACCUUCCCCAUCCCCACCUGACCUGGAAGCCAUGGCCUCCCUCCUUAAGAAGGAGCUGGAACAGAUGGAAGACUUCUUCCUUGAUGCCCCACUCCUCCCACCACCCUCCCCACCACCACCACCACCACCAUUGCCACCAGCCCCCUCCCUCCCUCUCCCCCUCCCUACCUUUGACCUCCCCCAGCCCCCUGCCCUGGACACCCUGGACUUGCUGGCCAUCUACUGCCGCAGCGAGGCCGGGCAAGGGGAGGCCGGGUUGGUGCCCCUGUCCCCACCACAGCAGCCCCCUCCUCCUCCUCCUCUUCCUCCACCUCCACCUCCACCCUCUCGCCCUGCCCCCUACCCCAGUCCUGCCACCGCCCGAGGGGACCGCAAGCAAAAGAAGAGAGACCAGAACAAGUCUGCAGCUCUGAGGUACUGCCAGAGGAAGCGGGCAGAGGGCGAGGCCCUGGAGGGCGAGUGCCAGGGGCUGGAGGCGCGGAACCGCGAGCUGCGGGAGAGGGCAGAGUCGGUGGAGCGCGAGAUCCAGUACGUCAAGGACCUGCUCAUCGAGGUGUACAAGGCUCGGAGCCAGAGGUCCCGCAGCAGCUAGCAGGGUGCUGGGCAUUAGCACUGGCUCACUUUCGUGUCUGGGGCCAUGACCACCCUCCCUCCCCCCAGCUUCCUUCCAGACCCCCCAGCUCUUGUCCUUACUGUCUCUCUUGCCCAUUUCUGAACUGUGUUUCCCUCUUCUCUCCCCAGAAUCAAGCAAUGUUUGGCCUCAGUCAACGUCUAACAUCCUCAAGUAGCAGCUGAGGCUGGGGGAGGCCCACAGGGAACGCAGGCAGCAGGGAGAGCUUGGAGACUGGUCUCUUGAAUUUCCAAUCUGGUUUCUUGCAGGUGGUUCUUGGUGGUGGGUGGAGGGGCCGUGGGCUAGAGCAGGGUGCCUAUGCCGAUGGGGACGUGAGUCAGGGAGGCUUCAGGACGGGGACCCGUAUGAUAUAAGCAGAAAAGCAUGGCAAGGGACCUUGGGGAGGGAGCCAAAAUGUGGCCAAGCUCGCAGAGCAGGUGGAUAUGAGGAGGGGCAGAGCGGGGGACCGUCAUGGUGGGUGACUGGGUGUUCAUUUUAGCUCUGGGAGAAAAUCAGUGUUUUGUGAAGGUGUUGGGGGGGGCUGCAUUUAGGUGAGGGAG
RNA transcript from Microcebus murinus (gray mouse lemur), 1628 nucleotides. It is a transcript of the gene named cyclic AMP-dependent transcription factor ATF-5 pseudogene, with no coding region annotated. The record is from RefSeq and is a predicted model, not a curated record. Lineage: Eukaryota; Metazoa; Chordata; Mammalia; Primates; Cheirogaleidae.